This 497-nucleotide ribosomal RNA is filed under the name uncultured bacterium. Its description in RNAcentral is "partial 16S ribosomal RNA". It matches the Rfam family "Bacterial small subunit ribosomal RNA", at positions 28 to 507 of the family's 1533-position model. The record is from RNAcentral.
GAUGAACGCUGGCGGCGUGCCUAAUACAUGCAAGUCGAGCGAACAGACGGGGAGCUUGCUCCUCUGACGUUAGCGGCGGACGGGUGAGUAACACGUGGAUAACCUACCUAUAAGACUGGGAUAACUUCGGGAAACCGGAGCUAAUACCGGAUAAUAUAUUGAACCGCAUGGUUCAAUAGUGAAAGACGGUUUUGCUGUCACUUAUAGAUGGAUCCGCGCCGCAUUAGCUAGUUGGUAAGGUAACGGCUUACCAAGGCAACGAUGCGUAGCCGACCUGAGAGGGUGAUCGGCCACACUGGAACGGAGACACGGUCCAGACUCCUACGGGAGGCAGCAGUAGGGAAUCUUCCGCAAUGGGCGAAAGCCUGACGGAGCAACGCCGCGUGAGUGAUGAAGGUCUUCGGAUCGUAAAACUCUGUUAUUAGGGAAGAACAAAUGUGUAAGUAACUAUGCACGUCUUGACGGUACCUAAUCAGAAAGCCACGGCUAACUACGUG